Molecule: ribosomal RNA, 301 nt
Filed under: uncultured bacterium
Lineage: Bacteria
Description: partial 16S ribosomal RNA
Rfam family: Bacterial small subunit ribosomal RNA
Source: RNAcentral
CAGUCGCCGCGGUAAUACAGAGGGUGCGAGCGUUAAUCGGAUUUACUGGGCGUAAAGCGUGCGUAGGCGGCUUUUUAAGUCGGAUGUGAAAUCCCUGAGCUUAACUUAGGAAUUGCAUUCGAUACUGGGAAGCUAGAGUAUGGGAGAGGAUGGUAGAAUUCCAGGUGUAGCGGUGAAAUGCGUUGAGAUCUGGAGGAAUACCGAUGGCGAAGGCAGCCAUCUGGCCUAAUACUGACGCUGAGGUACGAAAGCAUGGGGAGCAAACAGGAUUAGAGACCCGCGUAGUCCCUGUCUCUUAUAC